Molecule: long non-coding RNA, 729 nt
Organism: Solea solea (common sole)
Lineage: Eukaryota; Metazoa; Chordata; Actinopteri; Pleuronectiformes; Soleidae
Exons: 4
Source: RefSeq, a predicted model, not a curated record
CCGGUGACCUGUUCGGCGUGACCGGUGUGGGUGUUGGCGAGGCCGUUGUGGGCGCACAAUCCUUGCCGUUCAGCGCGAUCGGCUGCUGGGGCCGUGGGGGACGCAUCGCUCCGCCAGAAGCAUUUCCUAGAUGCGCUUUCCCGCUCUCUUUCGCUGGGUGAUUGGCACGCAUCAAUACUCCUUUGUCUCUCUGGGGCGUUAUUGCAGAGUGAGGCCGUGAUACAUUGUUGGCCCGUAUUCAGCCACUGUUCCCUGGAUCUGCGCUGCUGUUUUGGCUCCGUUUAAUUUGUGGAUGCUGUCAGGACUCGCUGUCGGGACUCCAACUCGUGUGAUCUAUUAAUAGAUAUGUCCCGCCCUGAGCUAACGUGAAUGGUGAUGAGACUGACAGUGUUAAGGGACACACAUUGUUUAAAUGUGCUAUAUGUAGUUUAUUACUUUGUAUUAUUUUGUGUUUAUUUGUAUUUUUGGUAUUCUUAAUUAUUUUGGUUUCCUCCAUACCAGUCCUGUGUAGCACCAUUGGCAUGGUUUGAAUGUGUUUCUUGUUUUUGGUUAGGUGCUGUGGCCCAGAGGCGGCAGUCCUAUCCUUGGUGGUGGUCCCCUUAACGAUUUCCUUUUGCUUUUGAUGUGUGUGCAGUGUCACAGGUGUUUUAAGUAACGGACCCUUCCACUUUUGAUUUGUCCCUGCCAUCUGGUAAGCUCCAGCCCUUUCCCUUGAUUUUUAUUCUUGCU